CAGUCGCCGCGGGAAAACGGAGGGGGCUAGCGUUGUUCGGAAUUACUGGGCGUAAAGCGCACGUAGGCGGCUUGGUAAGUUAGAGGUGAAAGCCCGGAGCUCAACUCCGGAAUUGCCUUUAAGACUGCCGAGCUAGUAGGUGAGAGAGGUAAGUGGAAUUCCGAGUGUAGAGGUGAAAUUCGUAGAUAUUCGGAAGAACACCAGUGGCGAAGGCGGCUUACUGGCUCAUUCUAGACGCUGAGGUGCGAAAGCGUGGGGAGCAAACAGGAUUAGAUACCCGAGUAGUCCCUGUCUCUUAUAC
This 301-nucleotide ribosomal RNA is filed under the name uncultured bacterium. Its description in RNAcentral is "partial 16S ribosomal RNA". It matches the Rfam family "Bacterial small subunit ribosomal RNA", at positions 509 to 807 of the family's 1533-position model. The record is from RNAcentral.